UGAAACCCUACUCUUUUCUCUCCAGUUCGUUGGCGUCGCAUUGCUCUCCUUCUCAUCUUCCCUGAAAACCCACCGCGAUUUUCUUUCAAUCAUUUCCUCUUCGAUUUCCGUUUGUUUUCUGGUAGCAACUGUGUUUUGGUUUAAGGAUUCAAUGGUGGAACUGUGUAAUACGAGAACAUUAGCUUUUCGGUUUGGGAUGUUGGGUUUGUGUCAUCAUUAACAUGAGAUUCGACCUUAUGGCGACGCUGUUUCCAAAAUACCCCAAGGGUUAAUUGUCGUGGUUGACAGCAAUGAUUGGGACCGUGUUGUUGAGGAGAGGAAUGAGAUGCACAGGAUGUUGAUGGAGACACAUGUAUUGCUAAUUAAUGGUAGAUUCAAAAACCAAUCAAGGAAAAAAAACCACAAUACUUUCUAAAGACCGGACCAGGUUGGAUUGACCGAACUGGGUGAAACAGGUCAAACAGGGUCGGAUAGGAAUGUUUGUUUCAAAAUUAUACAUAUACUAAAACUUGCCACAAAAUCACGGUUCAUUAACAGUGAAUGGACUAAGGUGCCCUCUAAUUUUUUUUUGUUAUUAGCUGUUUUUCACUUUUCACAUAGCAAAAAAAUCGUUUUGACCUCCA
Molecule: long non-coding RNA, 623 nt
Organism: Malus domestica (apple)
Lineage: Eukaryota; Viridiplantae; Streptophyta; Magnoliopsida; Rosales; Rosaceae
Source: RefSeq, a predicted model, not a curated record